GACGAACGCUGGCGGCGUGCUUAACACAUGCAAGUCGAACGGAAAGGCCCAGCUUGCUGGGUGCUCGAGUGGCGAACGGGUGAGUAACACGUGGGUGAUCUGCCCCUAACUUCGGGAUAAGCCUGGGAAACUGGGUCUAAUACCGGAUAGGACAAUCGUUUAGUGUCGGUUGUGGAAAGUUUUUUCGGUUAGGGAUGAGCCCGCGGCCUAUCAGCUUGUUGGUGGGGUAAUGGCCUACCAAGGCGUCGACGGGUAGCCGGCCUGAGAGGGUGGACGGCCACAGUGGGACUGAGAUACGGCCCAGACUCCUACGGGAGGCAGCAGUGGGGAAUAUUGCACAAUGGGCGCAAGCCUGAUGCAGCGACGCCGCGUGGGGGAUGACGGCCUUCGGGUUGUAAACCUCUUUCGACAGGGACGAAGCUUUGGUGACGGUACCUGUAUAAGAAGCACCGGCUAACUACGUG
Molecule: ribosomal RNA, 464 nt
Filed under: uncultured bacterium
Lineage: Bacteria
Description: partial 16S ribosomal RNA
Rfam family: Bacterial small subunit ribosomal RNA
Source: RNAcentral